This 253-nucleotide ribosomal RNA is filed under the name uncultured bacterium. RNAcentral describes it as "partial 16S ribosomal RNA". It matches the Rfam family "Bacterial small subunit ribosomal RNA", at positions 524 to 776 of the family's 1533-position model. The record is from RNAcentral.
UACGGAGGGAGCUAGCGUUGUUCGGAAUUAUUGGGCGUAAAGAGCGUGUAGGCGGCCAGGUAGGUCUGCUGUGAAAACUCGAGGCUCAACCUCGAGACGUCGGCGGAAACCAUCUGGCUAGAGUCCGGAAGAGGAGAGUGGAAUUCCUGGUGUAGCGGUGAAAUGCGCAGAUAUCAGGAAGAACACCCGUGGCGAAGGCGGCUCUCUGGGACGGUACUGACGCUGAGACGCGAAAGCGUGGGGAGCGAACAGG